UGAAACUGUUAGUCCAAAAUGGAUUGUAACCGACGGCGGUAAAGAGAACUUACUAAUAUAUAGGGAAAUAUAUCGGCUGCAAGGAGAUAGAGAAAUAUUGAUAUACAACGUGAACAUUAAUGAGAGUUUGAACUGCCGAAAUGAACUGUGAUAAAGAAAAAGAAAAUGAGUUUUACUUAAGCUCAACAUUAUCCGAACAAAAUAACAGUCAAAAGUGUGCUGGUAAAUAUAUUUGAAUUACACGUAUUUGUAUACAUUCAUUAUGUAUACAUAGUAUACAUAGUAUACAUGUAUACUAGAGAUGCCCAAUUUUUAAUCGAUUCGAUUCUUUCCCUAACAAAUUUAGGGAAAAAGGGUUGCUCGUGCUGCUUGCAUGUUUCAUACUUUUCGCUUUUAAAAAGAGAUGGACGCCUAAUCAGACGCUUGGAAGAAACAAUCGAGUUAGUUAUCUUGCUUUUGCUUCUUCCAAACAUUCCAAUAUACUUUUGUCUGGUUUUAAAUACGAAAAGUGCGAAGAAUGCAAACAACACGAAUAAACCUAUUUUUGGGGAAAGAAUCGAAUUGAUUCAGAAUCGGGUAUCUCUAAUGUAUACAUAGGCUGCGGUCCGAUUCACGCUUAUAGCGCUUAUAACGCGCUCACGGCCGGUCCGAUUUACACUCACGAUGUUCUCGUGAGCAUAGUGACGUCAUAGAUUAUGCUGCUUAGGGCUAUCGCACACAAAUUGACAUAACUGCAUAUGCAUAGCAUAAGACCGUAUGUAGCAAUGAGCAUCGAGUAUUAAGUCGCCAUAUUGGUGUUCGAUGCUUAAUAUUCGAUGCUCAUUGGUCCAUACGAUCUUAUGCUAUGCAUAUGCAGUUAUGUCAAUUUGUGUGCGAUAGCCCUUACAGUGCUCACGGUGCCCAUGAUACGGAGGUGGGUCACCGUGAGCACGUACGUUAGAUGAGUGGGAAGAUGUGAGUGCUGUGGGUGAUGUAAGCGUGAAUCGGACUGCAGGGAGUCGAUUCUAUAUCUCGAAGUGAAAGUUACAAAAGUGAGCAAAUUUACAAGAAUAUUCGUAAUUUCAUUGGUCAGUGCCUAGUAAAUGUGCUUACUUUUAUAAUUUUUACUUCGUUUUGAGAUACAAAAUUGACCCCCAGCUUAAGCACUUAGUGAGUGGUUCUGAUACUGGGUGCAAUUAACAGCUUAUAAGGAAAAGAAAGCAAUUUCAGAAAUAAUGUCUAAAAUGUUAAAAUUAAUAUCUGUGCCUAUAUAUAUAGAAGAAAGGAAUGAAACAAUAAAUUUAAAACUCUUACCACAAGAUGCAGCAAGGGUUACUACAAGUAAAAAAUGAAAACAUUGAUAAUAAUAAGAUUGUGCUAUAAUAAUGUAUACAUCUGUGAUACAUGUGUGGAUAUGCGCUAUAAUAAUGUAUACAUCUGUGUUAAAUGAAAAGGGUAAUUCUUAAUUAUUUCAAGAUGCAAAUUAUAUGGAACAACUCGUUAUGGAUUAUUGUAAAAAAAAAUAAAGAUUUUGAAAAGCAAUGAAAUAUGGAAAUUUCAAAUAAUGGAAACAAUGCAAAUGAUUGAUGUAAUAGAUCCUCCGUUCAUAAGUAAUGCAUGUAAUAUUUUAUCCUUAGAGACAGAAGAAUGUGAUAGUAAUCCUAAAAAUAUAGGUCAGUAUAAUUAUAAAAAAAACACAAAGUGUUCUUAAAUUUAAUGUUCACAUUGUUUGUAUAAAAACAUUUUCCCAUAAAAAUAUCUAAUUCUAAUAAAUGAAAAGUCAUUAUUUAUAUGGCCAUCGAAAUGUAUAUACUUACUGCUUGAUAAAUAUGAGGAACAGAAAGAAGAAUUCACAGGAGACAUGAAACAUCAUAACAAAAUAUAGGAUGCCAUUGCUGAUGAUAUUAGAAAAAUAAAUAUGGAAUAUACAAUGAACGAACGAAUUACAGUGUCAAUCAAAAUUCAAUAGCUUAAAAAAAACAUACAAAAAAAUAUUAGAUUAUAAUUCUGUGUCAGGAAAUGACAGGAAGAUGUGGCCAUAUUUAGAAAGAAUGCAUGAAAUCUUUGGGAAAUCAGGAUGAGCAAAUCCCAAAGCUAUCGCUUCAGAAGCUGGACCAUGUCAAGAGACAACUUCAUCUGGAUCUGGGACAAGUGAUUAUGAGGAUAAAAAGAAGCAUAAAAAACAAAUUUGAGAGUGUUCUGAAUAAUUUUAUGUUAGAUGAAAGAGGAAAGAGUACAAAGAGAAAAAAGAAGGGAAGCUAAAGACACAUGGUUUCAAGAGCUGAAACAA
Long non-coding RNA from Odontomachus brunneus, 2269 nucleotides. RefSeq lists it as uncharacterized. NCBI's taxonomy places the organism in Eukaryota, Metazoa, Arthropoda, Insecta, Hymenoptera, Formicidae. The record is from RefSeq and is a predicted model, not a curated record. The transcript is spliced from 3 exons.